CUGUCAAUCACAGUUCCUGCACGUGCCACAGGCGGCCACAGAUCCCCAUCGUGCGCAUUAUCACAUACAUCAGCCUGAAGUUCACAUGUUUGUUGGAUUUAAACGCGGCGUGAUGGCGGAGAGAACAUUCACUAACAAACUUCCUAGGAAAGCAACCAAUGAAAGAAGGAAACAAAGAUAGAAAGAGCUCGUGUCCGUAAUAAAACUAGGAUCAAUAUCGGACCGGCAUUUGAAAGGUGGAGGAAUCUACGAGAUUUUAAAAGGUUCAAGCUGGAUGCAGAGCUUGCCACAUUUCUUAUCGACAGUUUACCUUUUGAGAUGGCGAAACCAGUAAUGCGUCUGCAAAACCCCAAUGCAUCAGUUGGUCAUCAGCAGGCCAUAUUGGUGGCAAUGAAUGAGGCCCGUGCCCAUGCCUAUAGAGACUCACAGGAGGGCAAGUUUUCCACUACCUCCUGCCCAGCUGCUGAAUGAGACCACUGCCCUGGCACAUGCAAAAAGGAUGCUUCAGACUGAUGGGAUCGCAGCACCAUCUCGACAGCAGUGUUUAGGGAAGUUGGUGCUACCGUUCGGCCAGUACCUGAAUCCAAUGAUGUGAACUACAUGAAGUAGAUUGGGUCAUCCACCAAGACCCGGUGCUGGAUCCUGUCAUAGGCCACGGCCAUCUUUGAACCUCUCUCACUGCACGACAUAGGACCACCGAUAUAGAGCCACAAUCACAGAAAUCACGACGAUUGUUUCACGAUGGCAAUCUUUCGUCUGGGACAGCCAAAAAUCGUGCAGUGUAUCCCGGGCUUUAGGGGAGCGCAGCCACAGCAGAUCGACAAGCACAUACAUAAGCCGGUUGUGCUGGCGCAUAUUUUUUGGCCAUCUUCACUUUUUGGACCACGGUGGCGUCUGCAAGGUCAUCCCUUUUUGUUCUACAGUACAACGUGUUGCCCCAGUGUGUGCGGUACAGCUGGUGGUAUUUCUGUGGCUGCUUGUCAUGCUCCUCCACCGCAUUUCAGGGAUCGAGGACCCUGUUCCUCUGCGCAGUGUUGUGGAGCAGCUUCCGGUCUGUCAAGCCGACCUCCACCAGCACAGUACAGAAUGCCUCCAGUUUCUGAAACCCGGGCAGAGGACUGUCACUGCAGACAUCCUCCUGUAAAACAUACACAGAGAGAGAGACAGAGAAAAAAGUAGGUAAGUUCCAAUGCAUACAAUGUCUUUCAGAGGUCACAUUUAUCAGUUUUCUCUUCUGUCAGACUAAUAGGUAAUGUACUCACAAAGGCAGGAGGGUUGACCGUAGCUAAUAAAUGCUGAUAAAUGUGAUGCGCAGCUUGACAGCAGGAUGGUCCUCAUCGCUGUGGUACGCCUCGUCUGCUUCGCCGUCUGGGUGACCUCCUCUUCCGGCCCAGGACUGUUGUUGACGAUGCCCUCAAGAGUGAAGGACUCCCCAGUGCUCUGGCUGAAAAGAUAUUCGAGCCCAAGCAGCUCGUCUGACUGGACGUCAGCUGGGGUCCUGAAGUUCUCUUCCACUGUCUCACCAAACAGCUGCUGGCAGCAGGAGUUGAGGCGGUCAAUGAGCGGCACGGAGUAGACUCGGUGGUGCCGGCCUCUGCCCCAAACACGGCGUCUGAUCUGCGGUCGGAGUUCGACCUGGUGAUUCCACUGAUGAGGUAGACCUGGUAAGGCCGUGGCGCACACUGGGGACCUGAACAUACCAACAACAGAUUACUUGGAAUCAUUUGGAACAGCGACUUGUGGAAACCCCUCCAGGCUGUUGCUCCCACGCAGGCCCUUUUAAUACGGGAGGUCCACACCGUUGAUGGUCGUGGUGCGGGCAACCUGGUACAUGGGUUGGGUACAUG
Misgurnus anguillicaudatus (oriental weatherfish) is the source of this 1847-nucleotide long non-coding RNA. RefSeq lists it as uncharacterized. Lineage: Eukaryota; Metazoa; Chordata; Actinopteri; Cypriniformes; Cobitidae. The record is from RefSeq and is a predicted model, not a curated record.